AUACGGAGGGUGCAAGCGUUACUCGGAAUCACUGGGCGUAAAGCGCGCGCAGGCGGCUAUUUAAGUUGGAUGUGAAAGCCUACGGCUCAACCGUAGAACUGCAUCCAAAACUAUUUAGCUAGAGUGUGGGAGAGGAAGAUGGAAUUAGUUGUGUAGGGGUAAAAUCCGUAGAGAUAACUAGGAAUACCAAAAGCGAAGGCAAUCUUCUGGAACACUCCUGACGCUGAGGCGCGAAAGCGUGGGGAGCAAACGGGAUUAGAUACCCUAGUAGUCC
This 274-nucleotide ribosomal RNA is filed under the name uncultured bacterium. RNAcentral describes it as "partial 16S ribosomal RNA". It matches the Rfam family "Bacterial small subunit ribosomal RNA", at positions 523 to 796 of the family's 1533-position model. The record is from RNAcentral.